GCGUCUCGGUAGCUCAGCUGGAUACAGCAUUCAGACUGCGAAUCGGAGGGGCGGACGUUCGAAUCGUUCCGGGCGCGCCG
RNAcentral lists this transfer RNA (80 nucleotides) under Bradyrhizobium sp. MOS003. Its description in RNAcentral is "tRNA-Arg". Lineage: Bacteria; Pseudomonadati; Pseudomonadota; Alphaproteobacteria; Hyphomicrobiales; Nitrobacteraceae. The record is from RNAcentral.